RNAcentral lists this long non-coding RNA (1237 nucleotides) under Sarcophilus harrisii (Tasmanian devil). RNAcentral describes it as "lncRNA (ENSSHAG00000031055.1)". The record is from RNAcentral. Lineage: Eukaryota; Metazoa; Chordata; Mammalia; Dasyuromorphia; Dasyuridae.
GAGAUCAGAAGGGCCGAGUCCCUCAGCUGGAGUGGAGGAGCACAGGGAGCUGUUGUCUGUAACUUUACCUUCCUUGGAAAAGUUGGCCAGGGCCAAGUGGAUGAACCCCAGACUGCUGGAAGACCCGGACCUCGAGGGAGUUGUUUGGACAGUACAGAGCUAAGUGAAGAGGGGCAGAUCUCCAAUCUCGAGAGGAGACUCUGGGGACAGCGAGGCUGGCCUGCUUGGGGAGACCACGUGGAUGGGCCUUGGAAAACGAUCCUGGGUGACGGUCCCUGGAGGAUGGGCAGGGCUGGCUGGCCCUCAUAUGGCACAAACAUCCAUUCUCCUGCCCAGGAGAGGUAUCAGAUUCUAUUUACUGGUUUAGAGAGAAACCUUCGAUUGGCUUCUGGAUAGAGGCAGAAACUUAAGGAAAGGUUCUGGAAUUCACCUGUUCACCUCAGAAAUAGCUCAAGGCCGGGCAUCUGGAGAUCCGGGACUCUGUGUUACCUGUGCCGGGAGAGGGCGGGAGAAUGUGAACUCAAUAAGAGCAGUAAGAAAUCAGAAGGGGAAGGACAAAGGUUUUGUUGGAGAGAGUGCCUUGCUCUCUCUAAAAUGUAUGGUCUUUCCCGGGCUGUCAUCCCUGAACUGGCUGCAUUCUCUUCCCUUCUCCACCUUGAUUCCUUGGUGAGCCCCUUUAGCUCUUCAUUGUCCGUGUCUCUUGAGUGUUUUUCCCCUUUAUCCUUCUGAAGAUCUUGCCCAGUCAAGCCUCCCCUCCCCUGCCUUUGCUCCUGUGCAUGGGUUACUGAACAAGGGGAAGAUCAGGAAACUCUGCUGAUUGAUUUAUAUUUUUCAUAAUCUCAGCUGAGCCCUCGCUGUCUCGAGAUAAUGCUUUUGUGCCUCCCUAAUUGCCUCACUGUCCCACUCACCAUUUCCUCAAGUCUCCCAUAGCCUCUCCUUUUCCAGCUCAGCCAAGAACCUUGUCUCAAAUUUCCCUGAAAAUAUCGAGGCCAUUAACAGUGAGCUCUGGCUUCCUCCCUCUUCCUCAUUUCACGUCCGCCAGACGCCUUCUGCUGUUAACUCUACUUUCACCCCGUCUCACAUAAAGAGGUAGAUGGUCCUUCUCCUUUGCCAAGGCAACCCCGACAAAUGAUCCCUUUGCAGCCUGUCUUUCUUUCCCAGAAGAUUGCCUCUUCCAUCAUUCCCACUCUCUCACUUAUCUUCAAUCUGUCAUUCUAUAGUUUUUCCCAGGAUGAUU